GUAUAACCGUAUCGAGGGGUUGGUACCUUGGUUGCCUAGUACGGGGGGUAGUAGGCCCGUAUAACCAUAUCGAGGGGUUUGUACCUUGGUCCCUAGCUCGGGGGGUGGUAGGCCCGGGUAACCUCAUUGAGGGGUUUGUACCUCUUUCGCCUCUCCAAGGGGGUGGUAGGCCUUGGAAAUACUAUAUUGAUGGUCACUCACCACAUAUGUACUAUGUC
Molecule: long non-coding RNA, 218 nt
Filed under: Solanum tuberosum (potato)
Lineage: Eukaryota; Viridiplantae; Streptophyta; Magnoliopsida; Solanales; Solanaceae
Description: long non-coding RNA (STUB_LNC005795)
Source: RNAcentral